UUCGGUUUUCUUUCACUUUCACUGUAUGGGCAAAUUAAAAAUGUCUUUCGGAAGUGUAUUUUUGGAAUGCAUUUUUUUUUGGGUUUUCUUUCACUUUCACUGUAUGGGCAAAUUAAAAAUGUCUUUCGGAAGUGUAUUUUUGGAAUGCAUUUUUUUUUUUGAAAAUACAUGUUUGAAAUCGAAAAUAAAUUUCCAGUUUGUAUUAUUGUGA
Non-coding RNA from Vicia faba (fava bean), 211 nucleotides. The record is from the annotation of a GenBank genome assembly. NCBI's taxonomy places the organism in Eukaryota, Viridiplantae, Streptophyta, Magnoliopsida, Fabales, Fabaceae.